AGUGAACGCUGGCGGUAGGCCUAACACAUGCAAGUCGAACGGCAGCACAGUAAGUGCUUGCUCUUACGGGUGGCGAGUGGCGGACGGGUGCGGAAUACCUCGGAAUCUACUUUUUCGUGGGGGCUAAUGCAGGGACUCUUACGCUAAUCCCGCAUACGGCCUACGGGUGAAAGCAGGGGAUCUUCGGCCCUUGCGUGAUCGAAUGAGCCGAUGUCGGAUUAGCUAGUUGGCGGGGUAAAGGCCCACCAAGGCGACGAUCCGUAGCUGGUCUGAGAGGAUGAUCAGCCACACUGGAACUGAGACACGGUCCAGACUCCUACGGGAGGCAGCAGUGGGGAAUAUUGGACAAUGGGCGCAAGCCUGAUCCAGCCAUACCGCGUGUGUGAAGAAGGUCUUCGGAUUGUAAAGCCCUUUUGUUGGGAAAGAAAAGCAGCAGGUUAAUACCCCGCUGUUCCGACGGUACCCAAAGAAUAAGCACCGGCUAACUUCGUG
RNAcentral lists this ribosomal RNA (492 nucleotides) under uncultured bacterium. Its description in RNAcentral is "partial 16S ribosomal RNA". It matches the Rfam family "Bacterial small subunit ribosomal RNA", at positions 29 to 507 of the family's 1533-position model. The record is from RNAcentral.